Molecule: non-coding RNA, 73 nt
Organism: Gopherus evgoodei (Goodes thornscrub tortoise)
Lineage: Eukaryota; Metazoa; Chordata; Testudines; Testudinidae
Source: the annotation of a RefSeq genome assembly
GCCUGGCUAACUCAGCUGGUAGAGUGUCAGAGUUUUAAUCUGAUGGUCCAGGGUUCAAGUCCCUGGUCAGGUA